Sorex araneus (European shrew) is the source of this 205-nucleotide small nucleolar RNA. RefSeq annotates it as small nucleolar RNA U3. NCBI's taxonomy places the organism in Eukaryota, Metazoa, Chordata, Mammalia, Eulipotyphla, Soricidae. The record is from RefSeq and is a predicted model, not a curated record. The transcript has a single exon.
AAGAACACACUGUCAGGGAUCGUUUCUACAGUUCACUGCUAGAGAAGCUUCUCUGAUCCCGCAGAGCACCCGGAACCACGAGGGGAGCCAGAGGAUCAUCUCCUGAGCAUGAAACCUGUCCUAGGUGUUGCCUUUGCAGCUGUCUUUUACCACUGAUGAUCAUUUUCUCUCCCCUGGAGAGGGAGAGAUGCAAUCUGAUAGUGCU